Molecule: RNA transcript, 848 nt
Organism: Amaranthus tricolor (Joseph's coat)
Lineage: Eukaryota; Viridiplantae; Streptophyta; Magnoliopsida; Caryophyllales; Amaranthaceae
Gene name: geranylgeranyl transferase type-2 subunit beta 1-like
Exons: 3
Source: RefSeq, a predicted model, not a curated record
UAAAAAUCCUUAAAAAUGAGCCAAGCUUCAAAUGUUUUGAACAGAAGCAGUGAACUACUAUUUAGUAUAGAUGGGUACUUGCUGUGAGUCUGUGAGUAUUUUGGUUUCGAAGGUUUCUUUUGGUAUAUUUUGUCUCAGAUUUCUCUUGCGUGUUUUUAAAUCAAAAAUCAGUUUACAACGAAAAUGGGGGACUUGGCUGCUGAGAAGCAUGUGCGAUAUAUUAUAUCAGUUGAAAAGUGCAAUAAUUUGCUACGUGUGCCCUUAGAAGAAGGAUGCAUUUGAAUCGGUAGUCAUGGAGCACCUUAGAAUGAAUGGUGCUUACUGGGGGCUGACAACACUGGAUCUUCUCGGAAAGCUUCAAGUUGUGGAUCAAGAUGAAGUUAUUCCAUGGGUUAUGCAGUGUCAACUUGAAUCUGGCAAUCAUAUCUUCGUUGGAAAUUUUUGGUACUCAAUGACAAAGUUGGUGAUAGCUACAAGCAUUUUGGAUGCGCGAUGUUUUGGGUUAUGAAGUAGCUAUAUGUGCACUUGUAAAUUUUUGGACUUUUUCAAAGUGCCUAUCACUUGUAAAUUUUUGCAUGAAAACUUGUAUAUGGUAGGAGAAUUAUUUUGGAAAAUUGGUUAUCCGAUCCGUUACAUGUAUAUGAAUUACGUAUAUUUUUGACACACGAUAAUAUUUGGGACGUGUGAUAUUUUGGGAUACGAAUUAAUAUAUAAUGAUAAUCGGUGAUAUUAGUUUAGUUGGUUAUAAAUUAUUUAUUAUUUUAAUUGUCUAGUUUACAUAUAGAUUGUAGGUUGUUUCAAAAGAUAACAAAGUCGUUGCGAAAAAUGUGUAUAUUUUUUGCAACGGU